AGCGACGAACGGAGCCCACAUGACAACGACCAUGCAGAGGAGGCUGAAAUGCAGGAGGUGAACGACCCAAGAGAGACCGUCCCCACGCUCCCCAGCGACGACAACGAGGAAGGCCCAUCGGCCCAUGACAUCACGGAGGUGAACGGCGCUGCCACAGAGUUUUCGACACAGGUGACCGUACCAGAAAGGAAGGCAAUGUAGGCAGCACAAACAGGCAACGAUUGACUCAUGUUCGACGUCCUGCACCACCUACCCGGACUCCAUACACAAGGGGAAGGGCAAAGAGAGUAAAGAAAUAAGUGAGUUCAAGUAGUCCGAUAAGGUGUGUUGUAGUAGUAGAUACGUUGUUCGUAACAAGGACAUGCUUUUAAUUUGGUUAGUUUUAUGGACGGAUACGUUUGCUCAGCCAUAUGCUACACAUUAAACUAUUUUAUAUAGAGUACAUAUCGUUUUGCGAUAAUAAAUAUUUAAUGCAAGCAUGGGAUGGUAUUGCCAGUCAAUUUUGUGUGUAUACGUUGACAAAAUAAUGCAUGUAUUGUUGAUGAAAUGUAAAAGGGUAGAUCAACAUCAAAACUAAAAUGAAUAUAUCAUCAUUCUUAUACAUCCAGUCAUAUGAUUUUUCAAGACGAACUGACGGGUUUUCCUGUCAGAGUCUUUACAAAAAUCUGCAUGCCUCCCCUCAACCUCAGUACCAAGUGCAGAGUUGACUCCUUCUGAAUAUUAUAGUCUGCCAAUGUUCAGCAGUCCUCAAGCUGUUUGCCAGC
Molecule: long non-coding RNA, 764 nt
Organism: Olea europaea var. sylvestris
Lineage: Eukaryota; Viridiplantae; Streptophyta; Magnoliopsida; Lamiales; Oleaceae
Exons: 3
Source: RefSeq, a predicted model, not a curated record